Molecule: transfer RNA, 71 nt
Filed under: Camelus bactrianus (Bactrian camel)
Lineage: Eukaryota; Metazoa; Chordata; Mammalia; Artiodactyla; Camelidae
Also listed under: 2 other names
Rfam family: tRNA
About the family: Transfer RNA (tRNA) molecules are approximately 80 nucleotides in length. Their secondary structure includes four short double-helical elements and three loops (D, anti-codon, and T loops). Further hydrogen bonds mediate the characteristic L-shaped molecular structure. tRNAs have two regions of fundamental functional importance: the anti-codon, which is responsible for specific mRNA codon recognition, and the 3' end, to which the tRNAs corresponding amino acid is attached (by aminoacyl-tRNA synthetases). tRNAs cope with the degeneracy of the genetic code in two manners: having more than one tRNA (with a specific anti-codon) for a particular amino acid; and 'wobble' base-pairing, i.e. permitting non-standard base-pairing at the 3rd anti-codon position.
Source: Rfam by way of RNAcentral
GAAGUUGUGGCUCAGUGGAGAGUGUGUGCCUAGCAUGCACAAGGUCCUGGGUUCAAUUUCUAGUACCUCCA